AAUGCCCUACGGGGGGCAGCAGUAGGGAAUCUUCCACAAUGGACGAAAGUCUGAUGGAGCAACGCCGCGUGAGUGAAGAAGGGUUUCGGCUCGGAAAGCUCUGUUGGUAGUGAAGAAAGAUAGAGGUAGUAACUGGCCUUUAUUUGACGGUAAUUACUUAGAAAGUCACGGCUAACUACGUGCCAGCAGCCGCGGUAAUACGUAGGUGGCAAGCGUUGUCCGGAUUUAUUUGGCGUAAA
Molecule: ribosomal RNA, 239 nt
Filed under: uncultured bacterium
Lineage: Bacteria
Description: partial 16S ribosomal RNA
Rfam family: Bacterial small subunit ribosomal RNA
Source: RNAcentral